Long non-coding RNA from Aphis gossypii (cotton aphid), 878 nucleotides. RefSeq lists it as uncharacterized. NCBI's taxonomy places the organism in Eukaryota, Metazoa, Arthropoda, Insecta, Hemiptera, Aphididae. The record is from RefSeq and is a predicted model, not a curated record. The transcript has 2 exons.
GUCAUCUCUAUCGCACACCCAAAUCUUUUGAAUACAUUUUCCAUUGCCACAUGUAAAUUCGUCAUCUCUACAUGUUUCGUCUGAAGUGGACGAAAUAAUAAUAAAAAAAAAACAAGCGAUCAGCUACGAUGAUUAUAAUGGGUGCAUAAAUAAUUCAUUAUGAUAUUAGAUUAAUAGGUAGCGAAUAUAAGUUAAAGAUAUUAAGAAGAAAAUUGUAUACAACCAACACCGAGAAAAACUGAUAUCAAUUAAAUUACUGAUAUUAUAAAAUAUACGUAAGAAUAAUAAUACAAUUAAAUAUAAAUAUUAUGAUGGUAUAUAUUAAAUAGGUAGUGAUGAAUGUGAUGGUAUAUAUAAACGAAUCGUAAUUUUGGAAGGGAGGAGAAUGGGAAAAAAAAUCAAAAAGUUAUCGUGUCGUCGCUUACUGCACUCCUUCUCGUCUGAACCAUCCGAACAGUCGGGAUUACCGUCACACAUCCAUGUCAGCGGAAUACACUCGCCUUUGGCCUUACGGCAAGUGAACUCAUCUGUGUUGCAUACUCGUUUUUCUGAAAUCAAAACACAACAAGAAAUUCGUACAAAUUCAUGCAAAUAAUGAUGUUAAAAUGAUGGACGCCGAUGACGAUUUGAUGACUACUACAUUAUAAUAUGAUAUUAUUUUCAAAUUAUCUAUACGUGUGUAAUAUAUGUGUCAUGCUUGUGUGUAUUAUUGUGUUACUUCUAUUUAUAGUAUAUAUAUUAAAUAUGUAUUGUAAAUUAUAAGUAUUUUUAUAGUUAUUCAUUAGAUUAUACAUUAUGUUAUUGUUAUAUGAGUGGGUAGUAGGACAGUAUGUACAUGUGCAGAUGACACAAAAUAUAUUCAUAUUGAUAACAUUUAA